CUAUCUAUUGUACAAGGGCGCCGUCGCUGCAUCCGGGGCUUAGCGCCGCUAACAUAAGAUAGGC
Sander lucioperca (pikeperch) is the source of this 64-nucleotide long non-coding RNA. RefSeq lists it as uncharacterized. The record is from RefSeq and is a predicted model, not a curated record. The transcript has 3 exons. NCBI's taxonomy places the organism in Eukaryota, Metazoa, Chordata, Actinopteri, Perciformes, Percidae.